AUGUCUUCCUUAAUAAAUACCUUUCGUAAUAUUACUACUUUUUGGGUAACAAAUGCUUUAAUCAAAUUACGUAAUGGUAGCGAAAGCCGUGUUUAAUACAUUAAGGUGCAUCGUACUACCUCCAUUACCAUAUUAAAUCUUUUGAAUUGCAGUUAUUAUGUAUGUAGACGCAUUCGGUGUUCCUUAAUGUUUCUAUUUUCGUUAUUGUACUGUGGCUAGCAUUUCUGUGUCUGUUAUACAUAAUUUAGGUUAUUUCGGUAAUUUUACGCUUCGGGUCUACACGAUUACUGGCCAUUUCUAACGUACGUCUUAUCCAAAAAUAUUGCGUUAGAUAUUACCUUUUAUAGCAUUGCCUUGAUUUGCUACUUUUAGUACCUGUAAUUUUCUGAAGGGAGUUUCGCAUGUGCCUAACAAUACCUUUAUUGUGUUGUGGGUCGGGCUUCCCUUUUCAAAGACCGCGGCUUUCAUCUCAUCAUCAUGCAUGGACACUAAUCUCGAUUUAUUCUGACGCGGCUGUGGUAACGGACAUUUGAUCUUCUUCUUAUAUUUUCUUUCAUCCUGGGAGCUCCCUCCUGACUCUUUUAGCUUAUUAUUUCACCCUUGUAAGCUCUCCGUCGCGUUGCAAACUCUAUACAAUUCCGUGUGGCCCUCACACGCUGUGGAACCAGUCGAAAAAUAUUAGUCAACGCGAGGAGCUAUACCUACUCUUAACAUCAACCGGUAAUAACAGAAGUCACUUUCCCCGAUUCCGAUCCGUGUACCGGUGGCCCAUGGUUGUCGUCAGCUCGUGUUCUGAGAGGUUGGGUUAAGUCCCGCAACGAGCGCAACCCUCGUUCUAUGUUGCCAGCACGUGAUGGUGGGGACUCAUAGGAGACUGCCGGGGUCAACUCGGAGGAAGGUGGGGACGACGUCAAAUCAUCAUGCCCCUUAUGUCUUGGGCUUCACGCAUGCUACAAUGGCCGGUACAAAGGGUUGCGAUACUGUGAGGUGGAGCUAAUCCCAAAAAGCCGGUCUCAGUUCGGAUUGGGGUCUGCAACUCGACC
This 1043-nucleotide ribosomal RNA is filed under the name Pseudarthrobacter oxydans. RNAcentral describes it as "partial 16S ribosomal RNA". The stretch from base 635 to 1043 matches the Rfam family "Bacterial small subunit ribosomal RNA", at positions 908 to 1317 of the family's 1533-position model. The record is from RNAcentral. Lineage: Bacteria; Bacillati; Actinomycetota; Actinomycetes; Micrococcales; Micrococcaceae.